RNAcentral lists this ribosomal RNA (468 nucleotides) under uncultured bacterium. RNAcentral's name for it is "partial 16S ribosomal RNA". It matches the Rfam family "Bacterial small subunit ribosomal RNA", at positions 28 to 507 of the family's 1533-position model. The record is from RNAcentral.
GACGAACGCUGGCGGCGUGCUUAACACAUGCAAGUCGAACGGAAAGGCCCUGCUUUUGUGGGGUGCUCGAGUGGCGAACGGGUGAGUAACACGUGAGUAACCUGCCCUUGAUUUUGGGAUAACUUCAGGAAACUGGGGCUAAUACCGGAUAGGAGCUCCUGCUGCAUGGUGGGGGUUGGAAAGUUUCGGCGGUUGGGGAUGGACUCGCGGCUUAUCAGCUUGUUGGUGGGGUAGUGGCUUACCAAGGCUUUGACGGGUAGCCGGCCUGAGAGGGUGACCGGACAAAUUGGGACUGAGAUACGGCCCAGACUCCUACGGGAGGCAGCAGUGGGGAAUAUUGCACAAUGGGCGGAAGCCUGAUGCAGCAACGCCGCGUGCGGGAUGACGGCCUUCGGGUUGUAAACCGCUUUCGCCUGUGACGAAGCGUGAGUGACGGUAAUGGGUAAAGAAGCACCGGCUAACUACGUG